Molecule: long non-coding RNA, 721 nt
Filed under: Brassica napus (rape)
Lineage: Eukaryota; Viridiplantae; Streptophyta; Magnoliopsida; Brassicales; Brassicaceae
Description: long non-coding RNA (BNAP_LNC016869)
Source: RNAcentral
AUGUCAACCCCAAUCUUUCAUAAAUUAAAUCCAAAUUUCGAAAUACAAGUAACAUGCAUUUCCAUUCUACAUGAGCAUAUAAAAUAGAAAAGGUGAAUAUAUAGUUGUUAUCUAAAGAUCAUCUUAAGAUAUUUCUCAAAUGUUGAUAUGGAUAUAUCUUCAUGAAAAAUGGUAAUGUUUGCCCCAGUGUUAACCUAAUUGUACAUAAACUAAACCCUAUCAACUAAUCGCAGAAAUAUAAACCCUAAUCCAAAGUCAAACCCAAUCUUUCAUAAACGAAACUCUAACCACUAAUCACUAAACCCUACAUGGAAAUAUAAACCCUAGACCAAUGUGAACCCCAAACUUUUAUAAACUAAACCCAAAUUUCGAAAUUUCCAUUCUACAUGAUCAUAUAGAAUAGAAACGGUAACAAUCAAUAUAGCACAGUGCAUAUAUAUUAUUCAAAUUUUGAAGUGUAUGAUUAAUUGGAAUGGGCUAAUGCUUACACCAAAUUUCGAUUGAUUGUAGCGAAAAGAAAUGAAGAUUGACAAUAUUUGAGAAAAGAAGUGGAAGAGACAACAUCAUAUAAAUAUCAUUCACAUUCAACAUCACAUUGUAUUCUUUUUAAUUUGAUGUCAUAAUAAAUUAUAUUUCAUUUAAAUUCAAUAUAUUAUUUCUCUUUACAAAAUCAUAUACAGACUAAUAUAAAACAUAUGUAUACACCAAUACAGAACUCAUA